CAGCAGCCGCGGGAAUACGGAGGAUGCAAGCGUUAUCCGGAAUGAUUGGGCGUAAAGCGUCUGUAGGUGGCUUUCCAAGUCCGCCGUCAAAUCCCCGGGCUCAACCCUGGACAGGCAGUGGAAACUACCAAGCUGGAGUACGGUAGGGGCAGAGGGAACUUCCGGUGGAGCGGUGAAAUGCGUUGAGAUCGGAAGGAACGCCCGUGGCGAAAGCGAGGCCCUGGACCCUUACUGACGCUGAGACGCGAAAGCCAGGGGAGCGAACGGGAUUAGAUACCCGCGUAGUCCCUGUCUCUUAUAA
RNAcentral lists this ribosomal RNA (301 nucleotides) under uncultured bacterium. Its description in RNAcentral is "partial 16S ribosomal RNA". It matches the Rfam family "Bacterial small subunit ribosomal RNA", at positions 509 to 809 of the family's 1533-position model. The record is from RNAcentral.